GUUGCCGCCAUUGUGGUCUUUCGGUGAUUUCGCUUCCUUCAUGCUGUAGCGAUGUUCGGAUGUCAAUCUGUUCGCAUCGUGAACCAGGGGCCGGUUACCGCUUGCAUGUCACGAAAUGCACCACGUGUAGGCUUUAAUGGAGGCGCUGUAACAAUGACUAAAGCAUGGACGUACAUUCUUCAAACCUUUCCGGGUGUCGUGAGCUGACCACUCAUGAAGUAGGCCCAGGGCUGAAGGAGAGUUUGAAGUCUGCUUGAUUGCAUGGAACAUGCAGAAGUGCUGCGAAGACCUGGCCGAAGCUGCCGUGCCUGUCGACAGGGCUCUUAUCAGGAUCCCCGUAUGAUACAGCUUAGGUUGCACAGCUGCCCAGAAAAACACCUCCAGCUUUCCUCCAUUCCAUGACUACAGGUGACCUGCUUGGUGCUGCACUUGGUGGUAUCCUCUGGGCUCCAUCUGUAUUGGUGAUGGGCCACGUCUGAGGUCUCUGCCUUCGGUGUUGGGUCACAUCUGAGGACGUUGCAUUGGGAUAGCAUAUAUUACCACAUGGAGAUUGGAGUCUGGCAUGCAUUUAAGUGGUUUUACUGUGUCUGAUAUAGUCCAUCCCUGGAUGCAGUGGUUGUAUUGCUCUUGUGACUUUUCUUUGUCAAUAAACGAUGUAUUUUACCAAGAAA
Ornithodoros turicata is the source of this 671-nucleotide long non-coding RNA. RefSeq lists it as uncharacterized. The transcript is spliced from 11 exons. Lineage: Eukaryota; Metazoa; Arthropoda; Arachnida; Ixodida; Argasidae. The record is from RefSeq and is a predicted model, not a curated record.